This 427-nucleotide ribosomal RNA is filed under the name uncultured bacterium. Its description in RNAcentral is "partial 16S ribosomal RNA". It matches the Rfam family "Bacterial small subunit ribosomal RNA", at positions 355 to 774 of the family's 1533-position model. The record is from RNAcentral.
UAGGGAAUCUUCCGCAAUGGGCGAAAGCCUGACGGAGCAACGCCGCGUGAGUGAUGAAGGUCUUCGGAUCGUAAAACUCUGUUAUUAGGGAAGAACAAAUGUGUAAGUAACUAUGCACGUCUUGACGGUACCUAAUCAGAAAGCCACGGCUAACUACGUGCCAGCAGCCGCGGUAAUACGUAGGUGGCAAGCGUUAUACGGAAUUAUUGGGCGUAAAGCGCGCGUAGGCGGUUUUUUAAGUCUGAUGUGAAAGCCCACGGCUCAACCGUGGAGGGUCAUUGGAAACUGGAAAACUUGAGUGCAGAAGAGGAAAGUGGAAUUCCAUGUGUAGCGGUGAAAUGCGCAGAGAUAUGGAGGAACACCAGUGGCGAAGGCGACUUUCUGGUCUGUAACUGACGCUGAUGUGCGAAAGCGUGGGGAUCAAACA